RNAcentral lists this ribosomal RNA (2131 nucleotides) under metagenome. RNAcentral describes it as "bacterial LSU rRNA". It matches the Rfam family "Bacterial large subunit ribosomal RNA". The record is from RNAcentral.
UCAAGUUACUAAGAGCGCAGGGCGGAUGCCUUGGCACCAAGAGGCGAAGAAGGACGUAGAAAGCUGCGAAAAGCUCCCUAGAUCUGCAAACAAGAAACGAAAGGGAGAUAUCCGAAUGGGGCAACCCACUUAAGCAAACCUUAAGUAUCUAUAUAUGAAUAAAAUAGUAUAUAGAGGCAAUACCGGGAGAACUGAAACAUCUAAGUACCCCGAGGAAAAGAAAGAAACAUCGAUUUUCAAAGUAGCGGCGAGCGAAAUGGAAAGAGCCCGCUUAAAGAAAUACUAAAACAAUAUCCGAAUGAUUUUGGAAAAAUCAUCCAUAGAAAGUGAAAGACUUGUAAGAGAAGAUAUUAGAAUUUCAAUAAGCUUAACGAGUACCACAAGGCACGAGAAACCUGGUGGGAACACGGGAGGACCACCUCCCAAGGCUAAAUACUACUUGGUGACCGAUAGAGAACAGUACCGUGAGGGAAAGGUAAAAAGAACCCCGAAAGGGGAGUGAAAUAGAACCUGAAACCCUGCGUUUACAAGCAAAGAAAGCACGUGAAAAGUGCAAUCUUGUACUUUUUGUAGAACGGGCCAGCGAGUUACUUUUGUAAGCAAGGUUAAGAAGUUAAGCUUCGAAGCCGAAGAGAAAUCAAGUCUUAAUAGGGCGACAUAGUUUACAGGAGUAGACCCGAAACCAGGUGACCUAUCCAUGAGCAGAGUGAAGUUAAAGUAAAAUUUAAUGGAGGCUCGAACCGGGUGUGGUUUAAAACACAUCGGAUGACUUGUGGAUAGGGGUGAAAAGCCAAUCGAACCUGGAGAUAGCUGGUUCUCCUCGAAAUAGCUUUAGGGCUAGCCUUUAGGAUGUUUAAUGGAGGUAGAGCUACUGACUGGUUGCGGGGUGUUUGUACAUUACCAAAACCUAUCAAACUCCGAAUGCCAAGAAAACAAACCUAAGGAGUCAGACAUAGUGGGAUAAGCUUCUAUGUCAAAAGGGAAAGAGCCCAGACCAUCAGCUAAGGUCCCCAAAUACCGAUUAAGUGGUAAAGGAUGUGAAGUUACCCAAACAACUAGGAUGUUGGCUUAGAAGCAGCCAUACAUUUAAAGAGUGCGUAAUAGCUCACUAGUCGAGUGACCUUGCGCCGAAGAUUUCCGGGGCUAAAUCGGAUACCGAAGCUGUGGACUCUGUAAGAGUGGUAGAGGAGCAUUGUGUAAUAGGUAGAAGCAGUAUCGAAAGGCGCUGUGGACGAAACACAAGAGAGAAUGCUGGCAUAAGUAGCGAGAAGGAGUGUGAGAAUCACUCCCGUCGAAAACCUAAGGAUUCCUGAGCAAGGCUCGUCCCCUCAGGGUAAGUCGGGACCUAAGGCCAGGCCUAAAGGCGUAGCCGAUGGACAACUAGUAAAAAUUCUAGUACUAUCAAAUAUCGUAUAAAUGAAGCGGGGACACAGAAGGAUAAGCUAAGCGUACCAGAUGGAAGAGUACGCUCAAAUAAAAAGGCAUGCCAGGACUAAUAACCAGGCUAAGCUGAUUUAUGAUGAGGAUCGAAAAUAAGUAGAGAAGUAGCCGAUUUCACACUGUCAAGAAAAGCCGCUAAAUAGAUAAAUGAUACCCGUACCGUAAACCGACACAGGUAGGAAAGGAGAGAAUCCUAAGACGCGCGGAAGAACCUUUGUUAAGGAACUCGGCAAAAUGACCCCGUAAGUUAGCGAGAAGGGGAGCCAGAGCGAUCUGGCCGCAGUGAAUAGGCCCAAGCGACUGUUUACCAAAAACACAAGUUUCUGCUAAGUCGAAAGACGACGUAUAGGAGCUGACACCUGCCCGGUGCUGGAAGGUUAAGGGGAAAUGUUAGCAAUAGCGAAGCAUAGAACUUAAGCCCCAGUAAACGGCGGCCGUAACUAUAACGGUCCUAAGGUAGCGAAAUUCCUUGUCGGGUAAGUUCCGACCCGCACGAAAGGUGUAACGAUUUGGGCACUGUCUCAACAAAGGAUCCGGUGAAAUUGUAGUAUGCGUGAAGAUGCGCAUUACCCUGUCUAUUAUACACAUCUGACGCUGCCGACGAAUAGAGAGGUGCUGUACUCGGUGGCCACCCAUUCGAUUAAAACCAAGACUAAGAGAAAUCAGACAUCAAUCAACCGCGAACGAAAAA